CCUUCAGGUUUUUCACUAUUCCAAUUUUGGAAGCCUCUCUACAGAAUUUCCAGAUUGGGUUUGGGCCAAAGCUCUGCAUUAUUUGCAUGGGAUCUCGGGGGUCAAAACAGUCAAACCGCACCAUUCCUUCGAGAAAGUUUAUGGCCAGUAAGUGUCACUUUAAUUUGUAUGACGUUCCCUCCCUUCUUUUUACCCUUUUGCUUUUCCUUUGCUCAUAAUUACACUUGUCCACCACUAUUACCUCCUACCCUCCCCACGGAUGAUCUUCCUUAAUAACAGAGUUUUCCAACACUCUUCUUCUGUACAACAAAACAGAGAUCAGAGACAGGUUUGGUUAGAAAGAGAGGAAGGGAAAGAAAGGGGUGAUUCCAUUUCAGUGCUUAGCCAGACCAAAUGGAUGCUCUCUUACAUUCUCUGUAAGUAUGCUGCUUUUUACAUUCUUGUUUUUCUUAUGUUUCCUUUGGUUUUCUCCUCUUCGAAAGAAAGAGAAAACAUCAGUUUGAUAAUGCUCCGAUUUCUGGAAGAUAUGGAAAUAUUGCAUUAAAAUUGGCUUGCUAUCUCAAGUGUUCUCUGCAAUUUUUUUUUGCCUGUUCUUUUCAGUGUACGGGUUUUCCAAAGAUCCAAAACGAUUCAAGUUCAUGAUUCCAUUGCUACCUAGCUACCUGCAUCGUGUUUUUCAUCUGUAACAAACUGUCACAUCUUCUGUCUAUUUAGAUUUCAUAAUGGAUGAACUCAAAUUGGGGAAAUUGUAUAAGAAAAGAGUCAGAGAGAGCUAAUAAUGCACACCAAAGCCAAAACACAUUUUCACUCAAAUCACAUCGAGUAUCAUUACAUUAGAAAUCAGGAUAGAAAACCACAAAAAACUUAUUCUAUACCCUCUGCACACCGGACAACAUCAAAUAGGAAUCGAAUCAAGUGGUUAAUCCUCCUUCACUAUGACUUUUUUUUCUUCCUCUGUUUCUUUUAUCAUAUGUAGGCAAGCUGCCAAUGUAUAAUUACACUCUAAGGAUUUUAUAUAGAAGGUUCUGUACAAAAUCACAAAUCAAGGACAAAAACUGGAUCAGAAGGAUGGAAGAAGAGAUACCCGAAACCGCUCCGGAUGAGAUGACAAACAAAAGAAUGACACACACUAACAAGCACACACUGUUUUUAAUGUGAGUAUUAAGGUAGUACUCUCUAGUAGGAAAAAAGGGAAAUUAGAAGAGAAAAAUUAAUGGGGCUCAGGACAUCUUAUUGGAUGUGUCUGAGCUAGAAUGCACCAAAACAUUCUAAGCCAGUAGCUGGGAAUGCAGAUCAUUAAAUGCCUUGUUGUAAAAUUCCAGGCCAAGAUGGCUGCAAUCCUAGGAUGAAAAAAAAUGGAUGAAAACUCAACAUGAGCUAUGUUGCUCAAGGGAACGAAUGAUGAGAUAUAUUGACUAUAGACCAAUGUUGUUUUCAGUAUAAGAGAUGAUCAGAGGUUUGUUAUAGACUAUGGAGGAGGACUCGUUUGCAAGGUGGUGGUUGUGAAAGAUUGUUUCCUGGAUUAGGAGAAGGGGACUCCAUUCCAAGUGUCUUAAGUAGGAAGUUCCUUUCCUGAAAAAGAAACAAAAACAUAGUGGUCAGUCUCAUAUGAAAGUUCGAGAUAAUGUUCCUGCAGGUGUGUACGCUAGCAUUUCUAUAUUAGAUUAAGAAAAGGAAAAAACAAUACAAGUAGUGCAGAACUCUAUUUUGAGUUUCACAUGCUCACACUUUUAGAGCAAAACCAUAUAUAAGAGGGGAACAGACCGGAGGAAAUUUAUGAGUAAAUGGAAUUGCAGCAUGGACUGAACCAGUAUUACAACUUGAGCAUGAAUAAAACUCUAAAAUGUUUUUCAAAAUAAAAAUUUCCAGUUUAAAAAAUCCUUAUUGGAUUGGUUAGAAAUUUGUCAUCCAGACUAUACUUUCUAGCACGAUGGAGGAAAGUAUGAUUCAGUUAAGUAACUUCUUUUUUACUAUCAAGGAGCACUAUGAUCAAAGCUCACUUUGGCAAAAACCAGAAUCCUAGUUGGCCUCACUAUGUUUCUUAGCAUUUUUCUUAGAGCUUAGAUGGGCUGUUGUCUUGAGAUGAUGACACCUAGGCAAUAACUCACAGAAAUUUUGGGGUGUAGACAUGUAGUUGAAUUACAUACUCAUCUGACUAUUAAUUCAGUGAUUAGUUACUAAUACUUAAAAUAUCUUGCACAUACACCACGGUCAAUUGGUGGUUUCUCCACUUAAAUGUAGAAAACGUGGAUAACUACAAAUAAUGAGAAAAAUUUAUGAGUGGUAAACCAUUGAUGAAGAAAUGGGAAAAGCCUAUUGUAUAAAUAUGCGAGGGAAAAGAGAGAUAGAGAGACACAGCACAAGAAAAAAUGCUUAAUGGAAUUUGGUUUUCAGAAAGCACUCUGCAGUCCUUGUUAUUCUCUAAUCUACCCUUUUUUUCUCCCUUUUCACUCUGUAAUCUACAUUUUUUUUUGUUUAUUUAGUUUUUUUCUUAGUAUUUGGUAUGGCAGUUUCUGCAAAUAUAGCUGUAUAGUGUAUUUAGAAAUGAAAUGUUACUCUCUGAUUUGCCUGGCUGUUUGUUUUUUUCUAAUUGAUAGUGUUUUAAUUUGUGAUAGCAGGAACUUCAAUUUGACUCUGGUUUAAAAUUUUGGGCCACUUCAAUUUCAGACAAGAAUCUAGUAACAGCUUUGCCAUUAUCAUUUCCACAGAUGCUUUCAGCACUAGCCACAAAAGUUACUAAUGCCUUGCCAGUUUGUUAACUCAAAGUGCUCCUAACACUAUUUGACUAACGAGUUCAAAGUCCUAGCAAUGGUUCAAACAACCUCUUAACGGUGGCUGAGAAGUAUAUGAAAGUUCUGCUGCUACUGCUGGUAUAAAUAGAUGCAUAACUAUUAAUCCACACUGGUAUUGUUCUUGGUAGGCUAGGCACUGAUAAGCUCACAACUCCACUACAAGUAUAAGUGCAGAUGGAAUUAAAGUCUUAAGAAAGAUAAAACAAGAACUAGUACCUGCUACUGCAACUUAUAUUAUCUGCUAGAGCUCCAAUUCUUAUAAAAUGGAUC
This 3062-nucleotide long non-coding RNA is filed under the name Theobroma cacao (cacao). RNAcentral's name for it is "long non-coding RNA (TCAC_LNC001475)". The record is from RNAcentral. Lineage: Eukaryota; Viridiplantae; Streptophyta; Magnoliopsida; Malvales; Malvaceae.